UUAUGAUUUGUUUAAUUAGUCCAAUAAAAAACUUAUUUAAUUGAUGUUGAACAAACUCAUUUGUAUAACAUCUGCUUAAGAUUAAAAUUGUAUAGUCCUCACAGCUAUUGGUGUCCUCACAAAAUGCUUGCCAUCUGUCCAUGUUAAGCUUCCAAAUCUGUAAUCUCCAUGCAACUUUUGAGUUGAUAUGAAACUAACAUUAAAGGGGUUUGAUGUUCAUUGACUCACCUGUUGUUACCAAAGCUGAUCUUAUGGCUGCAGGUGACCAAGUUGGGUGUUUGGAUUUGAUGAGUGCUGCUAUUCCUGCCACAUGGGGACAAGACAUUGAUGUUCCAGAUAAAAAUGUAAAUCCACUGCUCUUUUUACUGUUCUUUGGUGGAAAUGCAGCCAAAAUGUCCACACCAGGUGCAGCUAUGUCAGGCUAUAUCUCCAUGAACCAUUCCCAGAAGAGUACAGGUUUUGAAUGACAUCAUAAAUUGAUAGAUGAGUAAGAGCCUUGUAUUUUUGUUUUGUGGUAAUUUGCAGACUAUAACUUAAAGAACAGCACACCAAAUAGACAUUUUUUGUUUUGUGAUGUCAUGUAUUUUAAAUUUUAUUUUGAGUUCUAUUUGUUCUUUUAUUUAAUUUUGUAGAGAUCCUACAAUACUACGACUACAACUAUGCCCGGUCGAAGGUAACAAAAAUCAUUAUUCGUUACCGGUAAUUGUGUUAACAAAUGACUGGUUGAUUGUGA
This is a non-coding RNA of Cicer arietinum (chickpea), 733 nucleotides long. NCBI's taxonomy places the organism in Eukaryota, Viridiplantae, Streptophyta, Magnoliopsida, Fabales, Fabaceae. The record is from RefSeq and is a predicted model, not a curated record.